This 497-nucleotide ribosomal RNA is filed under the name uncultured bacterium. Its description in RNAcentral is "partial 16S ribosomal RNA". It matches the Rfam family "Bacterial small subunit ribosomal RNA", at positions 28 to 507 of the family's 1533-position model. The record is from RNAcentral.
GAUGAACGCUGGCGGCGUGCCUAAUACAUGCAAGUCGAGCGAACAGACGAGGAGCUUGCUCCUCUGACGUUAGCGGCGGACGGGUGAGUAACACGUGGAUAACCUACCUAUAAGACUGGGAUAACUUCGGGAAACCGGAGCUAAUACCGGAUAAUAUAUUGAACCGCAUGGUUCAUUAGUGAAAGACGGUUUUGCUGUCACUUAUAGAUGGAUCCGCGCCGCAUUAGCUAGUUGGUAAGGUAACGGCUUACCAAGGCAACGAUGCGUAGCCGACCUGAGAGGAUGAUCGGCCCCACUGGAACUGAGCCACGGUCCAGACUCCUACGGGAGGCAGCAGUAGGGAAUCUUCCGCAAUGGGCGAAAGCUUGACGGAGCAACGCCGCGUGAGUGAUGAAGGUCUUCGGAUCGUAAAACUCUGUUAUUAGGGAAGAACAAAUGUGUAAGUAACUAUGCACGUCUUGACGGUACCUAAUCAGAAAGCCACGGCUAACUACGUG